GGGUCAAUGAUGAAAACACAAAAUCAUGAAGAGAGGUGAUGACAUAAAAAUCAUGCUCAAUAGGAUGACACUGAGGUCA
This is a small nucleolar RNA of Mastomys coucha (southern multimammate mouse), 79 nucleotides long. RefSeq annotates it as small nucleolar RNA SNORD115. The record is from RefSeq and is a predicted model, not a curated record. NCBI's taxonomy places the organism in Eukaryota, Metazoa, Chordata, Mammalia, Rodentia, Muridae. The transcript has a single exon.